Molecule: ribosomal RNA, 497 nt
Filed under: uncultured bacterium
Lineage: Bacteria
Description: partial 16S ribosomal RNA
Rfam family: Bacterial small subunit ribosomal RNA
Source: RNAcentral
GACGAACGCUGGCGGCGUGCCUAAUACAUGCAAGUUGAGCGCUGAAGGUUGGUACUUGUCCCAACUGGAUGAGCAGCGAACGGGUGAGUAACGCGUGGGGAAUCUGCCUUUGAGCGGGGGACAACAUUUGGAAACGAAUGCUAAUACCGCAUAAAAACUUUAAACACAAGUUUUAAGUUUGAAAGAUGCAAUUGCAUCACUCAAAGAUGAUCCCGCGUUGUAUUAGCUAGUUGGUGAGGUAAAGGCUCACCAAGGCGAUGAUACAUAGCCGACCUGAGAGGGUGAUCGGCCACAUUGGGACUGAGACACGGCCCAAACGCCUACGGGAGGCAGCAGUAGGGAAUCGUCGGCAAGGGACGAAAGUCUGACCGAGAAACGCCGCGGGAGGGAAGAAGGAUGUCGGAUCGUAAAACUCUGUUGGUAGAGAAGAACGUUGGUGAGAGUGGAAAGCUCAUCAAGUGACGGUAACUACCCAGAAAGGGACGGCUAACUACGUG